UGGUUCUGGCAUCGAUGAAGAACGCAGCGAAAUGCGAUAAGUAAUGCGAAUUGCAGAAUUCCGUGAGUCAUCGAAUCUUUGAACGCACAUUGCGCCCUUUGGCAUUCCGAAGGGCAUGCCUGUUCGAGCGUCAUUAUCAACCCUCAAGCCUAGCUUGGUGUUGGGCGAUGGUGGUUAGACACCCGCCCCAAAGAUAACGACGGCGUCUGUAAGACUCCCGGUACAACGAGCUUUUCACAAGGCACGUACUGCGGUGGGCUUAGGGACCCGGUCUUAGCCAUUCAUUUUCUCAGGUUGACCUCGGAUCAGGUAGGGAUACCCGCUGA
This 326-nucleotide unclassified non-coding RNA is filed under the name uncultured fungus. Its description in RNAcentral is "partial contains 5.8S ribosomal RNA and internal transcribed spacer 2". The stretch from base 1 to 133 matches the Rfam family "5.8S ribosomal RNA", at positions 22 to 154 of the family's 154-position model. Lineage: Eukaryota; Fungi. The record is from RNAcentral.